GAGACACCCCUAUGGAGCAGGACUUGCUUCAGUGAGGCUUUGAUGGUCACUGAGUCUGCCCCUUGAGUGUGUCGAU
RNAcentral lists this microRNA precursor (76 nucleotides) under Myotis davidii. RNAcentral's name for it is "mir-9229 microRNA precursor family". It matches the Rfam family "mir-9229 microRNA precursor family". The record is from Rfam by way of RNAcentral. Lineage: Eukaryota; Metazoa; Chordata; Mammalia; Chiroptera; Vespertilionidae.